UGUCACCCUGUAGCUUGCAAGGAUAGGUCCCUGGUGCAUUUCACCCGGUCAUGUGCAAGGAUAGGUCCCUGGUACCCUUGCAUGUCACCCUGUAGUUUGCAAGGAUAGGUCCCUGGUACCCUUGCAUUUCACCCUGUCGUGUGCAAGGAUAGGUCCCUGGUACCCUUGCAUGUCACCCUGUCGCUUGCAAGGAUAGGUCCCUGGUACCCUUGCAUGUCACCCUGUAGCUUGCAAGGAUAGGUCCCUGGUGCAUGUCACCCAGUCAUGUGCAAGGAUAGGUCCCUGGUACCCUUGCAUGUCACCCUGUCAUGUGCGAGGAUAGGUCCCUGGUACCCUUGAAUGUCACCCAGUUGUGUGCAAGGAUAGGUCCCUGGGUACCUUGCAUGUCACCCUGUCAUGUGCGAGGAUAGGUCCCUGGUACCCUUGCAUGUCACCCUGUCGUGUGCAAGGACAGGUCCCUGGUACCAUUGCAUGUCACCCUGUUGUGUGCAAGGAUAGGUCCCUGGUACCCUUGCAUGUCAACCUGUAGUUUGCAAGGAUAGGUCCCUGGUACCCUUGCAUUUCACCCUGUCGUGUGCAAGGAUAGGUCCCUGGUACCCUUGCAUGUCACCCUGUAGCUUGCAAGGAUAGGUCCCUGGUACCCUUGCAUGUCACCCUGUCGUGUGCAAGGAUAGGUCCCUGGUACCCUUGCAUGUCACCCUGAGGUGUGUGCAAGGAUAGGUCCCUGGUACCCUUGCAUGUCACCCUGUCGGGUACCGUAUUAGGACCCCUUGCUUAUUUCACAGUGGGGAUUCUAUCCUUGUAUCAUGCCAGGUUAGGUCUACAGGACUCCAUGCUUGUCAGAGAGAUUUCAUAUGGGGUUACCCUUGCCAGGAUAGGUGUUCAGCAUAUCUUUACACAAAAUGACCCUGAGGCAAGUUUUCCAUGUGACCUUGAAGUUUGUUUGUUAGAAGGCCUGGCGGUACAUACACAUUUUACUCACUCUUGAUACAUAUACAGACAGCAUCUUUAAAGUGUUUUUUUCCGAACUCUCACACAACUGUUUAGCACUGUCACAGUCUUCUGUGUGGAAAUUGUGGGACAAGUAGAACUCAUGGACAGACCAUGGAAUGAAUCUGAUGUCUUUGAUCUGGAGACAUUUGUCGUCAGAUCAUGAAGGAGACUCUGAAAUGUGUACAAACACAGAACCAUUUGAUAUGUAGUUCAUUUGAUAUGUAGAGUUACUGACUCUGAAUAUUUCAAUGCAAUGACCGCAGAUGUUUAGAACUGUUACACUAUGAGUGUCUUUGGGGAAAACCUACUGAAUAAGACCUCGUGAUUCUCCUGGAAAUAUGUACAUCUAAGGAACAGAAGUAUGUAACGAUUAUCUGAAGCAGUAAAACUGUCCACGUCUGAAAAAAAAAUGUCUGUAUGCGGUAUUGUGUGAUUCAGUACUUUCAUGUCUAAUAGAAACCGGUUUUGACUGGUGAUUUUCUUAUCAAUUAUCAUUUUCAAUUUAUAAUGUAUUUGUGUGUUUUAAUAAAUCUUUGAAAUGAAUGUGCUUUUUAUAUAUAAAUUCACAACAGGACAAACAUUCAACGCUGCAACAAAUCUUUAUUUUUUUGCUGCUUUUUACAGUCAAAUCAAGGAUGCUGAAAUGGAUUACGAAUCCUAUAUAACCACAAUCGCUCAUAAUUUAUGGCAGGGGGUGUCCAUUUUGUUCUUAAGGGGGUAUGGAAGGAGAAGAGGGUAGCUACAUAAAAAUAUUUAAAAAUUAUGGGGUAAGGGGGGGGUAAUUGAUUUUGUACAUUGAACCACCUCUAGCAAUAAAUUAUGAACGGUCCUUUGUUGAGUGUGAUACUGCAUUUACUGUCAUCUUGACCCGAGUGCCAUUGAACACAAUUUGACUUCUGAAAUGAUCCUUAUAACAACCAACAACAUCUGGACAUCGUCUACUCCUGAACAACUCAACAUUCACCGAUGAACAAAUU
Molecule: long non-coding RNA, 1970 nt
Filed under: Haliotis rubra (blacklip abalone)
Lineage: Eukaryota; Metazoa; Mollusca; Gastropoda; Lepetellida; Haliotidae
Description: uncharacterized LOC124260905, transcript variant X3
Source: RNAcentral